GGAUCGUAGCGAGGCGCUGCUGGUUUACGACGACGGCGAUCGACAUCUUGGUCACCGAAUAGCCGUUCGAGACGGUCGCGAUACGC
This 86-nucleotide transfer RNA is filed under the name Aminobacter niigataensis. Its description in RNAcentral is "tRNA-Arg". Lineage: Bacteria; Pseudomonadati; Pseudomonadota; Alphaproteobacteria; Hyphomicrobiales; Phyllobacteriaceae. RNAcentral also lists the same sequence under 1 other name. The record is from RNAcentral.